GUGCCAGCAGCCGCGGUAAUACAGGGGGUGCAAGCGUUACUCGGAAUUAUUGGGCGUAAAGAGCGCGUAGGCGGUCUAGUAAGUUUGGUGUGAAAUCCCUGGACUCAAUUCAGGAAGUGCAUUGAAUACUGCUAGACUGGAGUAUUGGAGAGGACAGCGGAAUUCCAGGUGUAGAGGUGAAAUUCGUAGAUAUCUGGAGGAACAACAGUAGCGAAGGCGGCUGUCUGGACAAUUACUGACGCUGAGGCGCGAAAGCGUGGGGAGCAAACAGGAUUAGAUACCCUGGUAGUCC
RNAcentral lists this ribosomal RNA (292 nucleotides) under uncultured bacterium. Its description in RNAcentral is "partial 16S ribosomal RNA". It matches the Rfam family "Bacterial small subunit ribosomal RNA", at positions 505 to 796 of the family's 1533-position model. The record is from RNAcentral.